ACGGGAGACACACGGCGGGUGCUAACGUCCGUCGUGAAGAGGGAAACAACCCAGACCGCCAGCUAAGGUCCCAAAGUCAUGGUUAAGUGGGAAACGAUGUGGGAAGGCCCAGACAGCCAGGAUGUUGGCUUAGAAGCAGCCAUCAUUUAAAGAAAGCGUAAUAGCUCACUGGUCGAGUCGGCCUGCGCGGAAGAUGUAACGGGGCUAAACCAUGCACCGAAGCUGCGGCAGCGACGCUUAUGCGUUGUUGGGUAGGGGAGCGUUCUGUAAGCCUGUGAAGGUGUGCUGUGAGGCAUGCUGGAGGUAUCAGAAGUGCGAAUGCUGACAUAAGUAACGAUAAAGCGGGUGAAAAGCCCGCUCGCCGGAAGACCAAGGGUUCCUGUCCAACGUUAAUCGGGGCAGGGUGAGUCGACCCCUAAGGCGAGGCCGAAAGGCGUAGUCGAUGGGAAACAGGUUAAUAUUCCUGUACUUGGUGUUACUGCGAAGGGGGGACGGAGAAGGCUAUGUUGGCCGGGCGACGGUUGUCCCGGUUUAAGCGUGUAGGCUGGUUUUCCAGGCAAAUCCGGAAAAUCAAGGCUGAGGCGUGAUGACGAGGCACUACGGUGCUGAAGCAACAAAUGCCCUGCUUCCAGGAAAAGCCUCUAAGCAUCAGGUAACAUCAAAUCGUACCCCAAACCGACACAGGUGGUCAGGUAGAGAAUACCAAGGCGCUUGAGAGAACUCGGGUGAAGGAACUAGGCAAAAUGGUGCCGUAACUUCGGGAGAAGG
RNAcentral lists this ribosomal RNA (768 nucleotides) under Escherichia coli. RNAcentral's name for it is "partial 23S ribosomal RNA". It matches the Rfam family "Bacterial large subunit ribosomal RNA", at positions 977 to 1746 of the family's 2925-position model. Lineage: Bacteria; Pseudomonadati; Pseudomonadota; Gammaproteobacteria; Enterobacterales; Enterobacteriaceae. The record is from RNAcentral.